RNAcentral lists this ribosomal RNA (1272 nucleotides) under metagenome. RNAcentral's name for it is "bacterial SSU rRNA". It matches the Rfam family "Bacterial small subunit ribosomal RNA". The record is from RNAcentral.
CGAGGGUUUGAUCCCGGCUCAGAAUCAACGCUGGCGGCGCGCUUAACACAUGCAAGUCGCACGAGAAAGGGAGCAAUCCUAAGUAAAGUGGCGUACGGGUGAGUAACACGUGGAUCAUCUACCUUCUAGUGGGGAAUACCUCCGGGAAACUGGAGACAAUACCGCAUAAGCUCGAAAGAGGAAAGCAGCAAUGCGCUGGAAGAGGAGUCCGCGGUCGAUUAGCUAGAUGGUGAGGUAAUGGCUCACCAUGGCGAAGAUCGAUAGCCGGCCUGAGAGGGCUCACGGCCACACUGGCACUGAAACACGGGCCAGACUCCUACGGGAGGCAGCAGUGGGGAAUCUUGCACAAUGGAGGAAACUCUGAUGCAGCGACGCCGCGUGAGUGAUGAAGCCCUUCGGGGUGUAAAGCUCUUUCGACAGGAACGAUAAUGACGGUACCUGAAGAAGAAGCUGCGGCUAACUUAGCGGUGAAAUGCAUAGAUAUGUCACAGAACACCAAUUGCGAAGGCAGCUUACUAUGGUGUCAUUGACACUGAGGCACGAAAGCGUGGGGAUCAAACAGGAUUAGAUACCCUGGUAGUCCACGCCCUAAACGAUGAAUACUCGAUGUUGGCGAUAUACGGUCAGCGUCUAAGCGAAAGCGUUAAGUAUUCCACCUGGGGAGUACGCCCGCAAGGGUGAAACUCAAAGGAAUUGACGGGGGCCCGCACAAGCGGAGGAGCAUGUGGUCUAAUUCGAUGAUACGCGAGGAACCUUACCCGGGCUUGAAAGUUAGUGAAUUGAGCAGAGACGCUCAAGUCCUUCGGGACACGAAACUAGGUGCUGCAUGGCUGUCGUCAGCUCGUGCCGUGAGGUGUUGGGUUAAGUCCCGCAACGAGCGCAACCCCUAUGUUUAGUUGCCAGCACGUCAAGGUGGGGACUCUAAACAGACUGCCUAUGCAAAUAGAGAGGAAGGAGGGGACGACGUCAAGUCAUCAUGGCCCUUACGUCCGGGGCUACACACGUGCUACAAUGGGCAGUACAGAGGGCAGCUACCUGGCAACAGGAUGCCAAUCUCAUAAAGCUGUUCACAGUUCGGAUCGGGGUCUGCAACUCGACCCCGUGAAGUUGGAUUCGCUAGUAAUCGCGUAUCAGCAAUGACGCGGUGAAUACGUUCCCGGGCCUUGUACACACCGCCCGUCAAGCCAUGGAAGCUGGAAGUGCCUGAAGUGCGUAACCGCAAGGAGCGUCCUAGGGUAAAGUCGGUAACUGGGGCUAAGUCGUAACAAGGUA